Molecule: ribosomal RNA, 584 nt
Filed under: uncultured bacterium
Lineage: Bacteria
Description: partial 16S ribosomal RNA
Rfam family: Bacterial small subunit ribosomal RNA
Source: RNAcentral
UGGGGAAUUUUGGACAAUGGGCGAAAGCCUGAUCCAGCAAUGCCGCGUGUGUGAAGAAGGCCUUCGGGUUGUAAAGCACUUUUGUCCGGAAAGAAAUCCUUGGCUCUAAUACAGUCGGGGGAUGACGGUACCGGAAGAAUAAGCACCGGCUAACUACGUGCCAGCAGCCGCGGUAAUACGUAGGGUGCAAGCGUUAAUCGGAAUUACUGGGCGUAAAGCGUGCGCAGGCGGUUUGCUAAGACCGAUGUGAAAUCCCCGGGCUCAACCUGGGAACUGCAUUGGUGACUGGCAGGCUAGAGUAUGGCAGAGGGGGGUAGAAUUCCACGUGUAGCAGUGAAAUGCGUAGAGAUGUGGAGGAAUACCGAUGGCGAAGGCAGCCCCCUGGGCCAAUACUGAUGCUCAUGCACGAAAGCGUGGGGAGCAAACAGGAUUAGAUACCCUGGUAGUCCACGCCCUAAACGAUGUCAACUAGUUGUUGGGGAUUCAUUUCCUUAGUAACGUAGCUAACGCGUGAAGUUGACCGCCUGGGGAGUACGUCGCAAGAUUAAAACUCAAAUGAAUUGACGGGGUCAUAGCUGUUUCCU